This is a non-coding RNA of Elaeis guineensis (African oil palm), 5212 nucleotides long. The record is from RefSeq and is a predicted model, not a curated record. NCBI's taxonomy places the organism in Eukaryota, Viridiplantae, Streptophyta, Magnoliopsida, Arecales, Arecaceae.
UGAAAUAUCAUAAUAUCGUUAAAACUGUCUUCGAUAAGUAUUUUACCUAUAGUAUGUCAUAAUUUGUACAUCAAAUAUCAUCAUCUUCAUCUAAAAUAUCAUAAAAAUAUCAAAAAAAGUUUUUUAAUUUUGUUUGACCUACAGAAUAUCAGAAUAUUGAUAUAUAAUAUCAUAAUUCGAAUCUGAGAUGUCAUAAAAACUUCAAAACAUCCCUUCGACAGGCAUUUUACGUACAGAAUAUCAUAAUUUUAAUAUCGAAUAUCAUAAUUUCGAUACAGAGUUUCAUAAAAAUAUCAAAAAAAUUGUUAAUUUUAUUUAUGUAUAGGAUGUUAGAAUAUUGAUAUAUAAUGUAAUAAUAUUGACCCACAUUGUCAUAAAAAUAUGAAAACAUACAUUCGGAAGAAGUUUUACAUACAGGAUGUCAUAAUUUUAACGCGAAUGUCAUAAUUUCAACAUAGGAUGUUAUAAAAAUAUCAAAAAAAGAUCUUGAAUUUUUUUUACCUAUAGAAUGUCAAAAUAUUGACAUAUGAUGCCAUCAUUUGGACCUAGAAUGUCAUAUUAUUGUCAAAACUAUCAUCAAUUUAUGUUCUACCUACAGGAUAUCAUAAUUUGAAUAUGGGAUGUCAUAAUUUUGACCCAAGAUGUCAUAAAUAUGUUAAAAGAAAGUUAUUCCAUUUUGUUUUACCUACAGGAUAUUAUAAUAUUGACGUAUAAUAUCAUCAUUUGGAUCUGGAAUGUCAUAAUAUAAUCAAAAUUGCUUUCGGUAGGUAUUUUAGAUAUAGGAUAUCAUAAUUUUAACAUCGAAUAUCAUAAAUUCAAUUCAGGAUGUCAUAAAAAUGUUCAAAAAUAUACUUUCGAGCUUAUGUCAUAAUAUCAACCUAAAAUAUCAUGACAUCCCGACUUAUUAUACUUUCAAAUAAUAUUUUUAUGACAUACUGUAUUCAAAAUUGAAAAGAAAACUUCAUUUGAAAUCUAACUAAUGCAUUAACUUCACUUAACUACCAAGAAACUACUGUAAUAAAAGAACAACUAUAAAAUUGUAAAAAAGCAUCUAUAGAUGGUAUUUUACUUCCUGAUGGAUAGGACAUGUUGUUUGGAUGGACGUAUAUUAUCUAGAUGCUACUCAAGAGCCUCGAAUGCAGAAUUGUAAUUAAAAAAAAAAAUUGGAUGGACAGAAGCUCAAUAAAUCGAGGAAGAAAAGAGAGAAGAGCAGUAUUCGAAAUGUCCAACCAGAUGGCAAGAUAGUCAAAAAGUCAUCUUGGAGAGAAAGAAUAUUUUUGUCAUAUUAAAAUUUUGUUAAAUUGAAAAAAUAGAUUAUGAUGUACAUUAAAUAUAUUCAAUGAUGAGACAGCGCACCACCUCCAUUUUCUCAUACCUGCAGACGUCCGGUUACAUCGAGCCACGAGGGUGCCACAUGGACCAAUCGGGCGAGGUGGUGCACUCCACAUCAGAUUUUCUAUACCGCAGGUGGUGUACAAAGAAUUUUGCUAUUUAAGCAUGUUAACAGUAAUCAAUGAACAAAUGUAAACUAAAAUCCUUAACAUGCCAUUAAUAAACUAUAAAUUAAGUUUAUAUAUAGUCAUAUGCAUAAAAGACUAUUUAUAAGAGUAUAGUUUAAUAAACAAAUUUUAAGUUACAUGCUUUACAAUCAAAACAAAAUAUUAUUUUAAAGCAUAAUUCCUACUAUGGAUGAUCUUGUGUCCCACUCUGCCUAGCCAUGUAUUCGUAAGAUCUUUAUCAUAUCUGCAAUAGCCCAAGUAUCUUGCACUAUGAAGGUUUGGAAACUAAGAUGGUGUUGCAGUUCGCCUGAUCCCAAAUAAUAUAUAGUGCUUCUCAUAAGCUAUUUUAUAGAAAGAUUUAACUUUUCCCUUUCUGUAUUUUUCCCAUGGAGCGAGUGCUACAGCUUUUCAUUCUAUUAGCAGAGAAUUGAGCUGAAUAAUAAUUUAUUUUCUCAUAGCAAAUUGAUUCUAUAAUAUUUAAGAGAUCUCACUAAAUUGUCCAAUCGUCCUAUAUGCAUUUGCAUAGUAUAUUUUGGGUUCAUUUUAUAAUUUUUGAAUUCUUUAUAAAUUGUUUGCAGCCUAUUGCCCAUUUUUCACUGCAUGCAUAUAAGAGAAAGAGUAGUAAAAAAUAGAUACAUGCUGUAUGUAACUCGCAAUGCAUGAUCACAUGGAGUGCAUGGAAUCAUCCCUUAUCUCGGACAAAGUUUAAAACAAAAUUUUUAGAGAGAAUAUCCUUCACUAUAUAACUCCAAAAAAUAUAUAAAAUAUACCGUUGAAAAGCUUAUUCUGAGGGCUUUCCAACGGUACUAAGAUUCAAAUAAAAAAAAUGAUUGUGUAAGAAGUAUAUCCAAUAAAAAAGGUCUUUUAAUCUAUAAAACAUUAUAUCUCCCUCUACAAAGGAUGUUAGGCCAUGAGAUUUUUCAUAUUAAAAGAAGACAUAUCGGAGCACAUGCUUCUACAAAAUCUCAGCCUAACACAAGGUAUAUAACAAGAUGCCAUAAACUAGGUUUUGAGAAAUCUAGAAUUGCAAAAAUAAGAGAAAACUAAUAUAAUGGUCAACGAUGAGACUUUAGCAGGUUAUAAAUCAAAUGUGGAUCAUGAGUUUAACCAUUAGGACUCUGAUAUCAAUGAUAAUGAAAAUUUGAUGUAAAUCCAAACCUUUUGUAAGUUUGAAAAAUUUGAAAAAAAUGGAACUCCUAUGAUGCAAAGGAUCAAAUUAUAUGUUUUCCUACUUCUGUAAGCCUCUUUGGGUAGUAUAUGCAAUCACAAUGGAAAACACACAAACAAAUCCAGCAUUCAAGUAUUUUAGAUGCAAGAAUAGGAUGAAAGAGAGUAUUCUUUGUCAUUUUUCUCCUCUUUUAAACUUUUCAGAUUUUUCUACCUCGGAGUGUUUUUUGACAUGGAGUUUUUGUUCUGAAAAAACUCAGAUAAGAUGAGCAAAGGAGAAGGAGAAACUUCCUAGUAGUUUCUUCUCCUCCAACUAUUCCCUCUAACAUUUGAAUUUUUAGUGAUCUUGGUUAAGCUAGCCCAUCAUGGGUGGCCCAACCAGAUUCAGAACCCAACAUUUGCAAAACAAAGCUCAAGUCUAUUUUUUGCUUUUUCUGGUUUUCUUUGUUCACUUGGUCUUGAUUUUGAGUAGCUCAGUCUGAUAAGACUAGGAUGAGUAGGAAAUAAAAAAAAUCUCAUCCUUAUAUAUAUUUUCAUAAUUAAUUGUAUUUUUAUUUAUAGAAAAUCUGUUGAUGAAAUUGUUUCUAUUUAUUGAUAUAGAUUCAUUGUUUGAGAGGAGAACAAAAUGAAGAAACUUACAGCUUUCGAAAUUGAUCCAGUUAUCAUUCAUAUGGAAUUCCGAUGCUUAUAGGUGUAUGUGAACAUAUGCUGAAAUAUCCUUGUCCGGUGCUUCUUAGGAUGAUAGUACUUGUAUUAGGAGGAAAUAAAAAAAAUCGAGGGUACUCUGAAAUGAAGGUAAUAGAAUUGUUAUAGAGAAACGGCACCCAGAGGUGCAUUUCAGCAAAUAAAACAUUAUGUGAUCCAUUGGUUUGUAAUUUUAUUUUGUUUUAUUUUUAUAAGUGCUUUCUAGAUUGUUUCUCAUAUAGGUUUGAUAUAGCCAUGUCCAAGUCACUUGCAGGUUGCAAUGAGGCAGUCAGCCUUUACCACUUCUGAACAGCACAGCUUGAUUUCCCCAUUCUGACUUCUGAGUUAGAGAUGGAUCGGUAUUCAUAAAAAGAUUAUUCUUAAAUUUACAAGUGAAUUCCUCUGACAAUACACCAUACUACUUAAGAGGCCGUGGUGGAUGGAUGACAAAAAUUUGGAAUGAUGAACAAGGCAUUAUUUAAGUGGAAGAACUAAUCGAUACCACUUGGCAGGUUUUGUUUUGAACAUGCAACUGAGUGAUGGUAGUGGAGGACAAUCUAGCAAUGAGGCAGCAUCUCCCGGUUAAAAGCCUAAACCGAGUAGCAAGAUUGAUUCAACCUCCGAAUCAGAGAAGCCAUGCCGUGCUGCCACAAAAAUUACAGUUCACGACCAAAAGUGGACUGAUGGCAGAAUCCCUUUUGAUACCGUCUCUGAUAACCUUGCUAAGCUUGGGAAGGUCUAAAACUGCUAGAUCUGACUAGCAUAUGCUUCCAAGAUCUUAUGCAUACAAUUUUAAAAUAUUUCAUCACCAAGUUCCCAGCCACAUUUUUAAUAGAAAUCCAUAUUUUAUGAAAAAUUUUCUUCUUUACAGAUGCAGGAGGCUCUUCAAAGGAGGAACCUUGAUACCUGCAGCUGAGGCUCUAGAAGAGGAACCUUGAUAGUCAGUAAUCAGGAGUCUUAGCAUGUUCUCUGAUCUUUGUUCUUCAUCAAAAGCUGGAAACCCUCAGCCAACAAUUGAUCAUUUCCUAUCCAUCUAUGAUGAUGUCCUGAAGUGCAAUGCCAUUGCUGAAGCUCUUGCUGCUAAUCGCAGCGGCAAUGGACCUAAUGACAUCACAUCUAGUGAACAGAGCAAAUCAGCCUCUCUCUGGGUUGAAGCAGCAUAAGCCACAGACCUUGGAGUUCUCCAUUUACUAACAAUGGUACCGAAUACCAAUCAAAAUGAAAAGGUGCUGAAGAACCUGCACUUCUUCCUAAGGAUCCUACAAGAAUAAGUGUGUCUGCGAGGAACUCUCUUGGAAACCCUGCCAUGAACCACUCAACCGUCCUGACUGAAUCCACAAUCAGAAAUACUUGGACUAUAGGAUAUGGUUUGGAUGAAGCUGUCAAGCUUGCCCAAGCUCUCCAACGUGAGACUUAGGUUUGGUUAUUGAAGUUUGUGGAGGAAGCUUUGGAUGUUGGCUUCCAUCUGUUUGGGGAGUGUUCAGAUGAUGGGAGUAGAACUUUUUACAACGGCAAAGUUACAGCAGUUCUAUCACAGUUGAAGCGGAUCAAUGACUGGUUGGAGGGGGUCAGGAGAAUGCCCGAAGAGGAGAUACUAAAAGGAGAAGAUUGAGAGACUGAAUUGCAAGAUGUAUGGUUUCAUUGUUGGUCACGUAGGGUCUACGUUUGAUAGCGCCAUUUCACUUUCAAAAGCUUCACUCCAUAUUUUCACCCAGCAGAUGACUGUUGUGAUUAAGUAUUGAUGUAAAAUCUUGCUAGAGAGACGAGAGUCUGUUUCCUUGUAUUUAUGCUCAUUUAUUCUAAUUAGUUGUGAAUCAUUGUUCAUUUUUUGAAUUAUAAUAAAUAGAAAAUUUUUUAGAGGA